CUUUUUCUUAUCUUUUAGUGUUAAUAGUUGGUCCUUAAAAGUUAGAGGAUAAUAAAUAAUAAAAGUCAAGUGUUAGUAAAAGUUAAUAGAAGGGUGCUGUGUGGCAGGUGAACGGAAUAGAUUCCACGUGGAUCGUGGAACAAAUUUGUGGAAAAAAGGCCUAGUGGGCCUUUUUUCCGUUCUUUAAGCUAAACCGGAGGCUCUUCGAACGUCAGGUUUUCCAACUUCCGAUAGCCCAAUUCGGGUGUAUCGUAUAUCCCUGAGCCAGAAACCUGCCCUGUGAUUUCUCCGUUGGAGUUAUUCGCAGCAGAGGGAUCCAAUUCGCACGAAGUGUCGUAUCCGGGACGUUGAUAGCAACCACGGAGGAAUCUAACCUCAAAAUUGGCAAAAAUAGAAGACGAGAGAACACCAGUGUCUGAUCGCCGCCAUUGUCCAAGUACCGACAUCGUUGGACCCAUUAUUCGAUCGUCGACUUUGUGGACACCAUCGUCUGAGCACCGGCAUCGUCGAACCCAUCACGCGAUCGCCAGUGUUGAACCAUCCACUGGCCCGUCGCUGACCGGACGUCUUCCGGACAUUACAGGAACCGUAACAGAUUCGCCAACCCGCAAACCGCUGACGAGCGAGUACAAUUACCAUCCCGUUCCAUGCAGUGGUUCCCCAUCAUCGUGAGUCAGCCCACACCCCAUCAACAACCGUAAGUCGCGCUGGUUUUGUUUUUGAUAAAUAGCAUGCUAAAUAGGUCAGAAGAGGUCGUAGAGAAAGUAGGUUAGAAGUCGUGAUCACGGAACUAGCAAUCAAAUUAGGCACUAAAAGGUGAAUAAAUUCUAUAUGUGUACAAAAUUGUAUUCUAGUUCAUAACACUGUUUUCACUAUUUGAUUGAGUAUCAAGUUUGCUAAAGU
Molecule: long non-coding RNA, 903 nt
Organism: Armigeres subalbatus
Lineage: Eukaryota; Metazoa; Arthropoda; Insecta; Diptera; Culicidae
Exons: 3
Source: RefSeq, a predicted model, not a curated record